CGGUAGGUCUACUCUAGAACUUUCUCCAUCUGUCGGUAGGUCUACUCUAGAACUUUCUACAGCUGUCGGUAGGUCUGCUCUAGAACUUUCUCCAGCUGUCGGUAGGUCUGCUCUAGAACUUUCUCCAGCUGUCGGUAGGUCUGCUCUAGAACUUUCUCCAGCUGUCGGUAGGUCUGCUCUAGAACUUUCUCCAGCUGUCGGUAGGUCUGCUCUAGAACUUUCUCCAGCUGUCGGUAGGUCUGCUCUAGAACUUUCUCCAGCUGUCGGUAGGUCUAUUCUAGAACUUUCUCCAGCUGUCGGUAGGUCUACUCUA
Acanthochromis polyacanthus (spiny chromis) is the source of this 313-nucleotide long non-coding RNA. RefSeq lists it as uncharacterized. NCBI's taxonomy places the organism in Eukaryota, Metazoa, Chordata, Actinopteri, Pomacentridae. The transcript is spliced from 4 exons. The record is from RefSeq and is a predicted model, not a curated record.